Molecule: ribosomal RNA, 301 nt
Filed under: uncultured bacterium
Lineage: Bacteria
Description: partial 16S ribosomal RNA
Rfam family: Bacterial small subunit ribosomal RNA
Source: RNAcentral
CAGUAGCCGCGGUAAUACGUAGGUCCCGAGCGUUGUCCGGAUUUAUUGGGCGUAAAGCGAGCGCAGGCGGUUAGAUAAGUCUGAAGUUAAAGGCUGUGGCUUAACCAUAGUACGCUUUGGAAACUGUUUAACAUGAGUGCAAGAGGGGAGAGUGGAAUUCCAUGUGUAGCGGUGAAAUGCGUAGAUAUAUGGAGGAACGCCGGUGGCGAAAGCGGCUCUCUGGCUUGUAACUGACGCUGAGGCUCGAAAGCGUGGGGAGCAAACAGGAUUAGAUACCCCCGUAGUCCCUGUCUCUUAUACA